RNAcentral lists this long non-coding RNA (399 nucleotides) under Malus domestica (apple). RNAcentral describes it as "long non-coding RNA (MDOM_LNC017648)". Lineage: Eukaryota; Viridiplantae; Streptophyta; Magnoliopsida; Rosales; Rosaceae. The record is from RNAcentral.
AGCUUAUUUGUUGGACACAAUGUAGGUGCAAAGCUGAAGGGUCGAAGAUCAACAAGGAAGGAUGGGAAUAACCAAGAUGGUCAGAGUGGUGGCGGUGCAGGUUGGAUUCCUCCACCAGUUGCGAAUAUUCUUUUCAAAGAAAGCGUUCCUACUGCAGGCGCUAGGUAGUUUACCGGUGUCAUGUGGCCGUGGUACGUUUGCUAUUCCUAUCCGGUCAAGAAAUGAAGUCUGAAACGAGGCCAAAUGUACCUAGCGCCAGCGAAUAUGGAUGGUCCGAAUCUGGUUAGGCCAAAAACAAAAAUAAUCUGUGUAAUUAGAAGACUGAUGAUAUGUGUGUGUGUGUGUGUGUGUGUGUAUAUAAAUCUGCAGUUGCUACUCUGCUUGCAAUGUAAAUAUUUG